GACGAACGCUGGCGGCGUGCUUAACACAUGCAAGUCGAACGGAAAGGCCCUGCUUUUGCGGGGUGCUCGAGUGGCGAACGGGUGAGUAACACGUGAGUAACCUGCCCUUGACUUUGGGAUAACUUCAGGAAACUGGGGCUAAUACCGGAUAGGAGCUCCUGCUGCAUGGUGGGGGUUGGAAAGUUUCGGCGGUUGGGGAUGGACUCGCGGCUUAUCAGCUUGUUGGUGGGGUAGUGGCUUACCAAGGCUUUGACGGGUAGCCGGCCUGAGAGGGUGACCGGCCACAUUGGGACUGAGAUACGGCCCAGACUCCUACGGGAGGCAGCAGUGGGGAAUAUGGCACAAUGGGCGGAAGCCUGAUGCAGCAACGCCGCGUGCGGGAUGACGGCCUUCGGGUUGUAAACCGCUUUCGCCUGUGACGAAGCGUGAGUGACGGUAAUGGGUAAAGAAGCACCGGCUAACUACGUG
RNAcentral lists this ribosomal RNA (468 nucleotides) under uncultured bacterium. RNAcentral's name for it is "partial 16S ribosomal RNA". It matches the Rfam family "Bacterial small subunit ribosomal RNA", at positions 28 to 507 of the family's 1533-position model. The record is from RNAcentral.